UACGGAAGGCAGCAGUGGGGAAGUAUUGCACAAUGGGCGCAAGCCUGAUGCAGCCAUGCCGCGUGUAUGAAGAAGGCCUUCGGGUUGUAAAGUACUUUCAGUCGUGAGGAAGGUGUUAAGGUUAAUAAUCUUAGCAAUUGACGUUAGCGACAGAAGAAGCACCGGCUAACUCCGUGCCAGCAGCCGCGGUAAUACGGAGGGUGCGAGCGUUAAUCGGAAUUACUGGGCGUAAAGGGCACGCAGGCGGUUAAUUAAGUUGGAUGUGAAAUCCCCGGGCUUAACCUGGGAAUGGCAUUCAAGACUGGUUAGCUAGAGUCUUGUAGAGGGGGUAGAAUUCCAUGUGUAGCGGUGAAAUGCGUAGAGAUGUGGAGGAAUACCGGUGGCGAAGGCGGCCCCUGGGACAAAGACUGACGCUCAUGUGCGAAAGCGUGGGGAGCGAAACGAGGAUUAGAUACC
This 456-nucleotide ribosomal RNA is filed under the name uncultured bacterium. RNAcentral's name for it is "bacterial SSU rRNA". It matches the Rfam family "Bacterial small subunit ribosomal RNA", at positions 340 to 786 of the family's 1533-position model. The record is from RNAcentral.